This is a non-coding RNA of Hyaloperonospora arabidopsidis Emoy2, 1786 nucleotides long. NCBI's taxonomy places the organism in Eukaryota, Oomycota, Peronosporomycetes, Peronosporales, Peronosporaceae. The record is from Rfam.
UUGACCCUCUUUCGAACUGAUGGCACAACUGCUGAUAUCGACUUUGGAUUUGUACCGCCAUAUUCACCAACUUUAUCGCGCAUCUUCCACCACCUCGAGGCUUUGGUAUGAUUGGCCUGCAUACAGUCAAUGUCAAUAACAUUGUUUCUAGAAGCUCAUUUCAACAUACCUUGUAGUUUCCGCGGAACUCUGAGGCAAAUUCGGCGAUCGCUCUAAGGAUCAAGCUUUGUUCAUCAUUCUGGUCUGCAUCAGUUAUUAUCCAAUUAAUCACAGUGAGCCGCGACGUUAUCGAUACAACCUGUUGAAGCUUGCGCUUGCGCUUAUUGACGAGUUGACCGUCGUGAUCGUGAUUCUCAUCUUCAAUAUCCUCUACUCCUCUCCUACAUCUUCGUUGUCAUCAAGUUUCUCGUCAUCGACAUCGCCUGCUGGGACAUUAGCGCCGGCAGUACGUGCAAAAGCAGCGAUAUCGGCGAUGGAGAGCUCAACGCCUCGAUACUGGUUAAAACCACCAUAAAAGCACUAACACGGUCAAAAAUAGAAUGAGAGUGACGUCAUUUUACUGUACAGUAUAUUAGUUACGAAAUUUGUAAAGUCCGUGCGGAGUCCGCACUAUUUCUCAACCUCCCAGUUCACGACUCUCUCAGUAAAAUAUUAAUGUGGACCGCACUUUUCUCAAUCCACACGAAUUAUGGCCAUCAGUGUAGUGACGUGCAUGAAUGGAAUAAUGGGAUUCUCGCAGCUGCUAUCUACUGUCUAGCGAACCCACAGCCAAGGGAACGGGCUUGGAAUAAUCAGCGGGGAAAGAAGACCCUGUUGAGCUUGACUCUAGUCUGACGUUGUGAAAUGACUUGGGAGGUGUAGAAUAAGUGGGAGGCUCUGCCGCACGUGAAAUACCACUACUCUCAAUGUUGUUUUACUUAUACCAUGAUGUAGCAACUGGUUGGCUUCGCGGUCGCUCAGUUCUAGAAAUAAGCCAGGUUAUACCUAGGCAAGCUACGUGGAAGACAUCGUCAGGCGGGGAGUUUGGCUGGGGCGGCACAUCUGUUAAAUGAUAACACAGGUGUCCUAAGGUGAGCUCAAUGAGAACAGAAAUCUCAUGUAGAACAAAAGGUAAAGCUCACUUGAUUUUGAUUUUCAGUAUGAAUACAAACCGUGAAAGCGUGGCCUAUCGAUCCUUUAGUUCUUUAGAAUUUUAAGCUAGAGGUGUCAGAAAAGUUACCACAGGGAUAACUGGCUUGUGGCAGCCAAGCGUCCAUAGCGACGUUGCUUUUUGAUUCUUCGAUGUCGGCUCUUCCUAUCAUUGCGAAGUAGAACUCGCCAAUUGUUGGAUUGUUCACCCACUAAUAGGGAACGUGAGCUGGGUUUAGACCGUCGUGAGACAGGUUAGUUUUACCCUACUGAUGAGUUCGUUGUCUAAACAGUAAUCCAACCCAGUACGAGAGGAACCGUUGGUUCAGAAAUUGGUAACUGCGGUUAGCUGAAAAGCUAGUGCCGCCAAGCUACCAUCUGUAGGAUUAUGGCUGAACGCCUCUAAGUCAGAAUCCAUGCUGGAAUAGACGAUAAUCACCUUUCCUGAUGUACCGCGAAUAGCGAUAGGAAUUCGUGUGGAUUGAGAAAAGUGCGGUCCACAUUAAUAUUUUACUGAGAGAGUCGUGAACUGGGAGGUUGAGAAAUAGUGCGGACUCCGCACGGACUUUACAAAUUUCGUAACUAAUAUACUGUACAGUAAAAUGACGUCACUCUCAUUCUAUUUUUGACCGUGUUAGUGCUUUUAUGGUGGUUUUAA